RNAcentral lists this ribosomal RNA (482 nucleotides) under uncultured bacterium. Its description in RNAcentral is "partial 16S ribosomal RNA". It matches the Rfam family "Bacterial small subunit ribosomal RNA", at positions 28 to 523 of the family's 1533-position model. The record is from RNAcentral.
GACGAACGCUGGCGGCGUGCUUAACACAUGCAAGUCGAACGAUGAAGCCCAGCUUGCUGGGUGGAUUAGUGGCGAACGGGUGAGUAACACGUGGGCAACCUGCCCCAAACUCUGGGAUAACUCCUCGAAAGAGGUGCUAAUACCGGAUACGAACUAGACAGACAUCUGUACUAGUUGGAAAGUUUUUCGGUUUGGGAUGGGCCCGCGGCCUAUCCGCUUGUUGGUGAGGUAACGGCUCACCAAGGCUACGACGGGUAACCGGCCUGAGAGGGCGACCGGUCACACUGGGACUGAGACACGGCCCAGACUCCUACGGGGGGCAGCAGUGGGGGAUAUUGCGCAAUGGGCGAAAGCCUGACGCAGCGACGCCGCGUGAGGGAUGAAGGUCUUCGGAUCGUAAACCUCUUUCAGUAGGGACGAAGCGAAAGUGACGGUACCUAAAGAAGAAGCACCGGCUAACUACGUGCCAGCAGCCGCCGUAA